This 433-nucleotide ribosomal RNA is filed under the name uncultured bacterium. Its description in RNAcentral is "partial 16S ribosomal RNA". It matches the Rfam family "Bacterial small subunit ribosomal RNA", at positions 29 to 507 of the family's 1533-position model. The record is from RNAcentral.
AACGAACGCUGGCGGCAUGCCUAACACAUGCAAGUCGAACGAGACCUUCGGGUCUAGUGGCGCACGGGUGCGUAACGCGUGGGAACCUGCCCUUAGAUUCGGAAUAACUCCCCGAAUGGGGUGCUAAUACCGGAUAAUGUCUUCGGACCAAAGAUUUAUCGCCUUUGGAUGGGCCUGCGUUGGAUUAGCUAGUUGGUAGGGUAAAAGCCUACCAAGGCGACGAUCCAUAGCUGGUCUGAGAGGAUGAUCAGCCACACUGGGACUGAGACACGGCCCAGACUCCUACGGGAGGCAGCAGUGGGGAAUAUUGGACAAUGGGCGAAAGCCUGAUCCAGCAAUGCCGCGUGAGUGAUGAAGGCCUUAGGGUUGUAAAGCUCUUUUACCCGGGAUGAUAAUGACAGUACCGGGAGAAUAAGCUCCGGCUAACUCCGUG